RNAcentral lists this ribosomal RNA (497 nucleotides) under uncultured bacterium. RNAcentral describes it as "partial 16S ribosomal RNA". It matches the Rfam family "Bacterial small subunit ribosomal RNA", at positions 28 to 507 of the family's 1533-position model. The record is from RNAcentral.
GAUGAACGCUGGCGGCGUGCCUAAUACAUGCAAGUCGAGCGAACAGACGAGGAGCUUGCUCCUUUGACGUUAGCGGCGGACGGGUGAGUAACACGUGGGUAACCUACCUAUAAGACUGGGAUAACUUCGGGAAACCGGAGCUAAUACCGGAUAAUAUUUCGAACCGCAUGGUUCGAUAGUGAAAGAUGGCUUUGCUAUCACUUAUAGAUGGACCUGCGCCGUAUUAGCUAGUUGGUAAGGUAACGGCUUACCAAGGCAACGGUACGUAGCCGACCUGAGAGGGUGAUCGGCCACACUGGAACUGGGACGCGGUCCAGACUCCUACGGGAGGCAGCAGUAGGGAAUCUUCCGCAAUGGGCGAAAGCCUGACGGAGCAACGCCGCGUGAGUGAUGAAGGUCUUCGGAUCGUAAAACUCUGUUAUUAGGGAAGAAUAAACGUGUAAGUAACUGUGCACGUCUUGACGGUACCUAAUCAGAAAGCCACGGCUAACUACGUG